Molecule: ribosomal RNA, 439 nt
Filed under: uncultured bacterium
Lineage: Bacteria
Description: partial 16S ribosomal RNA
Rfam family: Bacterial small subunit ribosomal RNA
Source: RNAcentral
CCUAGGGGGGCACCAGUGAGGAAUAUUGCACAAUGGGGGGAACCCUGAUGCAGCAACGCCGCGUGGAGGAUGACGCAUUUCGGUGUGUAAACUCCUUUUAUAUGUCAAGAAAAUGACGGUAGCAUAUGAAUAAGCACCGGCUAACUCCGUGCCAGCAGCCGCGGUAAUACGGAGGGUGCAAGCGUUACUCGGAAUCACUGGGCGUAAAGGACGCGUAGGCGGGUUGGAAAGUCAGGUGUGAAAUCCUACAGCUUAACUGUAGAACUGCACUUGAAACUUCUAAUCUAGAGUAUGGGAGGGGGAGAUGGAAUUAGUGGUGUAGGGGUAAAAUCCGUAGAUAUCACUAGGAAUACCUAAAGCGAAGGCGAUCUCCUGGAACAUUACUGACGCUAAGGCGUGAAAGCGUGGGGAGCAAACAGGAUUAGAUACCCGCGUAGUC